ACCUUGCUGACGAGUGCCCAGUAGCACGAAAGUCGAGUCCAGGGU
Schistosoma mansoni is the source of this 45-nucleotide non-coding RNA. The record is from Rfam. Lineage: Eukaryota; Metazoa; Platyhelminthes; Trematoda; Strigeidida; Schistosomatidae.